GCGCCUUCUUGAAGAGCAGUCCUGAACCAAAGGGAAUUCACCUGGAAUACAAAGAUGACUAAUAUAUAUUUUGUGCAUGUAGGAGAGGAAAGGUUGACCACUAGAUGGAACACUAGCAUAGGACUUUGGAGACCAAGAUUUGAUUCCCUGCUCUGCCACAGAUAUCAUUUGUAACCUUGGAAGAAAAAGGAAUUCCAUGCAUAGAGUGGGGAAAGGUACAGAGACAGGCUACGAGAAAGAAACAAAUUGGGCACUGAUACCAACAGAGAAAAACAGCAAAGAACUGGCGGACAACAACAGAGGAGCAGGCAUAUCUGAAGUAUAUGCAGAGGAAGAUCAGUGAAGGGAUUUGAAGGUUGCUCGAAUCUGCAACUUGUUAAUGUUCCAAGUGAACAGCCAAGAAGGGACCUCAGAUUAAUGGCAUUUACGCUGUUGGAAUAUCAGUAAGGGGCACCAAGAGCAAAGGACGGGCACUCUUUUUAAUGGAAUGAGUGUAUACAUCUAACUAACUAAAUAAAUAACCAAAGGAAAAAAGAGAAGUGCAGCUGAUUUAAAUGGGGAUACUCACGAGAAGAGUGAAGCGAAAGGAGUUCUGAAUCCCAGAAUGGAAGUUUAGAGAAUGAAAAUUUCACUUCUCCGUUGGAGGCACACUGCAGGAGUAUUAAGAGCCAGAAAGUGAUACUGUCUACAAUGUCUGGGAUGAACACACUAUAGGGAUUUCUGUAAAAGGCUGUAAUCCUGCAAAGGUUUAUUUAUCUAACGUUUUCAUGUCUGUCAAGUUAAGCAUGUGCAUAUUACAUCUCUGCAAAAUUAGCGUCUAAAUCUGAAAAAUGUUUACACUGAAUUUUUUUUUUUUUAGAAGAACAAAAUAGUUUUUGUCAAUAGCGGAUUGGCAAAAUAAUACAAGGGUUGGGUGUAGACUACUAGAAAGUGUCCUUUUAACCUGUCAGCUUUCAUUUUCUCUCAUUUCUCUUCUCUGAAUGUCUUCACACAGUGGCGCUGUUAUUUACUGCUUUUACAACACUCAUAAUCAAACGAACAGUAAAGGGAGUUUGAGAUAAAGGUCACAACAAGAAGACUGGACAAUAUAUACAUUCAAUCUUUUGGGCUGGAUCCAAAGUCCACUGAAGUCAAUGGAAAGACUCUUCCCACUAAUGCAAGGAAACUCCUCAAAAGUAAAGGUACAAAGGAUUUUGGGGAAUGAAACCUCUGACUCUGUGGAUCAGCCUCUCAGCUCUAGCCCUCUGGCCCUCCUCUCUCGAGCUGCAUACAACCUUAAGGAGCUGGACUGUCAGUGGGCAGAGACCCAUUCUUGCACAUAACUCCCACACGCACCCUGGAAUGCAGUUACUGCUAUUUCAAGCGGGAACGUCUUAAGGCAAGUCUACAUUAAAAAAUUAAGUUGAGCUAAGCCCUGGUCUACACUAUGGGCUUAGGUCAAAUUUAGCCAAGUUAGGUCCAUUUUAAAAUGAAUGCAUCGACACAACCAACCCUGUUCUGGCGACCUAAAGGGCUCUUAAAAUAGACUUCAGUACUCCUCCCUGGCGAGGGGAGUAGCGCUAAAAAUCGACCUUGCGGGGUCGAAUUUCGGGUAGCGCAGACGCAACUUGACAGUAUUGGCCUCUGGGACCUAUUCCAGAGUGAUCCAAUGUGACCACUCCGGACAGCACUUUGAGCUCUGAUGCACUAGCCAGAUACACAGGAAAAGCCCCGGGAAGUAUUGAAUUUCAUUUCCUGUUUGGUCAGUGUGGCGAGCUCAGCAGCAUAGGUGACCAUGCAGUCCCCCCAGAAUUGCAAACGAGCUCCAGCAUGGACUGAAAGGGAGACACUAGAUCUGAUUGCUGUAUGGGGAGAAGAAUCUGUGCAGGCAGAACUCAGGUCAAAAAGAAGAAAUACUAAUAUAUAUGCCAAAAUUGCAAAGGGCAUGGUGGAGAGAGGCUACAACAGGGACACACAACAGUGCUUCGUGAAAGUUAAGGAGCUCAGGCCUCAGACCAAAAGACAAAGGAGACAAAUGGUCACUCCAGGUCAGAGCCCCAUACAUGCCACUUCUAUGAUCAGCUGCAUGGCAUUCUAGGUAGGACCCUACCACUACCCCACUGCUGUCCUUGGACACCUGCAAGGGGGAGUCUCACGCAACAGGGAGGAGGAUUUUGUGGAAGAGGAGGAGGAGGAGAAUGCGCAGCAGGCAAGUGGUGAAUCCGCUUUCCCUGGCAGCCAGGACCUUUUCAUCACCCUGGAGCCAAUACCCUCCCAAGGCGGGAUCCCAGACCCUGAAGCCAGAGAAGGCAGCUCUGGUGAGUGCACAUUUGUAAUGAAAGAACAGGGUUUAAAAGCAAGAGUGUUUAAUGUUUGAUUUGCCCUGAAGAAUUGGGAUGCAUUCGCGGCCAGUACAGCUACUGGAAAACUCUGUUAACGUGUCUGGGGAUGGAGCGGGAAUCCUCCAGGGACAUCUCCAUGAAGCUCUCCUGGAGGUACUCUGAAAGCCUUUGCAGAAGGUUUCUGGGGAGGGCUGCCUUAUUUGGUCCUUGUUGGCUUUCCUGCAGCUCCAGAAGACGGAAUGUUGCUUGAAUGCAAUCAAAACUCAGUUGAUUUUUAGAAAUUGAUUUUAUACAGUCAACUGUGUAUGUUCCCACUAAGCGCAUUAAGUCGGCGGAGUGUGUCCUCAAUAUUGCAGCUAGUAUUGAAUUACGGAGCGGUGCACUGUGGAUAGCUAUCCCACAGUCCCGCAGUCUCCACUGCCCAUUGAAAUUCUGGGUUAAGCUCCCAAUGCCUGAUGUGGCAAAAACAUUAUUGAGGGUGGUUUUGGGUACAUGUCGUCAGUCGCCCCUCCCUCCCUCUGUGAAAGUAAUGGAAGACAAUCGUUUUGUGCCUUUUUUCCUGGGUUACCCGUGCAGAUGCCAUACCACAGCAAGCAUGGAGCCCGCUCAGUUGUUGUGAGCUGCUGCUGUUGUGAGCAUUGUAAACACCUCAUAGAUUAUCCUGGAUAUCUGCAGAACCUGGCUAGGAGAUAUCAGCACAAGGAUGAUUGUGAUGAGGACAUGGGCACAGACAUUCCUGAAAGCACGGGCGGUGGCAAUUGGGACAUCAUGGCGGCAGUGGGGCUGGUUGAUACAGUGGAACUCCGAUUCUGGGCUUGGCAAACACUGCAUAGUGUUGCGGGUAUGGGAUGAUUCACAGUGGCUGCAAAACUUUUGCAUGCUUAAGGCCACUUUCCUUGAACUUUGUGAGUUGCUUUCCUCCACCCUUAAGCACAGGAAUACCAAGAUGAGACCUGCCCUGACAGUUGAGAAGCGAGUGGCGAUAGCCCUGUGGAAGCUUGCAAUGCCUGACUGUUACUGGUCAGUCGGGAAUCAAUUUGGAGUGGGCAAGUCUACUGAGGGGACUGCUGUGAUCCAAGUAGCCAAUGCAAUCACUGACGUUCUGCUAUUAAGGGUAGUGACUCUGGGAAAUGUGCAAGUCAUACUGGAUGGCUUUGCUACAAUGGGGUUCCCUAACUGUGGUGGGGCAAUAGACAGAACACAUAUCCCUAUCUUGGCACUGGACCACCUUGCCAACCAGUAUAUAAACCACAAGGGGUACUUCUCAAUGGUGCUGCAAGCACUGGUGGAUCACAAGGGACGUUUCACCAUCAUCAGUGUGGGAUGGCUGGGAAAGGUGCAUGACGCUCGCAUCUUCAGGAACUCAGGGCUGUUCAAGCAGUUGCAAGAAGGAACUUACUUCCCAGACCAGAAAAUUACCAUUGGAGAUGUUGAAAUGUCAAUAGUUAUCCUUGGGGACCCAGCCUACCCCUUGCUCCCAUGGCUCAUGAAGCCGUACACAGGCAGCCUGGACAGUAGAAAGGAGAGUUCAACUAUAGGUUGAGCAAGUGCAGAAUGGUGGUAGAAUGUGCUUUUGGACGUUUAAAAGCUCGCUGGUGCUGUGCGCUGACUAGGUUAGACCUCAGCACAAUCAACAUUCCCAUUGUUAUUGCUGCUUGCUGUGUGCUCCAUAAUAUCUGUGAGAGUAAGGGGGAGAUGUUUAUGGCAAGCUGGGAGGUUGAGGCAAAUCACCUGGUGGCCGACUUUGUGCGGCCAGAAACCAGGGCGAUUAGAAGAGCACAGCUAGGCGCGCUGCGCAUCAGAGAGGCUUUGAAAACCAGUUUCAUGACUGGCCAGGCUAUGGUGUGACAACUGUGUGUGUUUCUCCUUGCUGCAAACCCACCCCCUUUGUUGAUUUUAAUUCCAACCACCCUCCUCCCUUCGAUCACAGCUGGCAAAGGAAAUA
Caretta caretta (loggerhead turtle) is the source of this 4266-nucleotide long non-coding RNA. RefSeq lists it as uncharacterized. The record is from RefSeq and is a predicted model, not a curated record. NCBI's taxonomy places the organism in Eukaryota, Metazoa, Chordata, Testudines, Cheloniidae.